AAGUGCCAGGAAAGAAUUAUUCAAGCCCUUCCCAGAAGGUAUCCUUCUGGCAAGGGUACUGUACUAAACUAACUAAAGUGGGGGAUAGUGAGGGGAUAAAUUUUCUUAAGGAACUCGGCAAAAUCCCAAUGGCCCACCAGGGCAUAUUGGAACACGGGCCUCGACUGUUUACCAAAAACAUAGCCCUCGGCUAAUAUGAAAAUAGAUGUAUAGAGGGUGAUGCCUGCCCAAUGGUUGUAUCUAAAAGCGGUUGAUAAAAGUUGACCUCGUAAGGACAAUUGAAUGGCCGCGGUAACACUGACCGUGAUAAUGUAGCGUAAUCAAUAGCCAAUUAAUUGUUGGCCAGUAUGAAUGGCGCCACGAAGGCCCCACUGUCUUAAGGAAAUUCCCAGUGAAAUUGAAUUCGUAGUGAAGAUGCUACGUCCAAUUUGUUAGACGAAAAGACCCCGUUGAGCUUUACUGGAGCACUUACAUGGCCCCGGCCUUCCCAUGCCUGGGAACCGGCCGAAUUUAAAUGGGCGGCUUAGAUUAUGUGGCAGCCCCCCGCUGGGGCAAAUGAAACACCACUCCCCCAUGUCAAAGGGGCUAACCCCCCCCCUUGGGGGGACAGUGUAAGUAGGACAGUUUGGUUGGGGCGACCACCUUUUAAAAAGUAACGAAGGUGCGCUUAAGGUGCGCAAUUAAUGACUGAAGCCUGACUGCGAGGGGGACACCCCGAGCAGACACCCCAAAGCCCGCCCGAAAGGCGGCGGUGGGGUGGGCCAUAGUGACCCGUUAAUUUAGAGUGGAAUAGUUAACGAUCAACGAAUAAAAGUUACCACGGGGAUAACAGCGUAAUAUCGUUAGAGAGUUCACAUCGACGACGAUGUUUGCGACCUCGAUGUUGAAUUGCGCUCCGGCCCAA
Molecule: ribosomal RNA, 904 nt
Filed under: Zoanthus aff. pulchellus SGB-2022
Lineage: Eukaryota; Metazoa; Cnidaria; Anthozoa; Zoantharia; Zoanthidae
Description: partial large subunit ribosomal RNA
Rfam family: Bacterial large subunit ribosomal RNA
Source: RNAcentral